This 250-nucleotide ribosomal RNA is filed under the name uncultured archaeon. RNAcentral describes it as "partial 16S ribosomal RNA". It matches the Rfam family "Eukaryotic small subunit ribosomal RNA", at positions 583 to 852 of the family's 1831-position model. The record is from RNAcentral.
UUCCAGCUCCAGUAGCGUAUAUUAAAGUUGUUGCAGUUAAAAAGCUCGUAGUUGAACUUCUGUGGCGUGGCUGCGCGUAGCAAUACGUGCGGCCUGGCCACAUCCUCCUGAGGAGCUCGUCUUCAUUCACUUGUGGGCGAGUGUUCAGGAACUUUACCUUGAGAAAAUUAGAGUGUUCCAGGCAGGCGCAGCCUGAAUAGUGCAGCAUGGAAUAAUACAAGAGGACUUGGCUCCAGUUGUUGGUGUAUGG